UAACACGUAGGAGGCGAGCGUUAUCCGGAUUCACUGGGCGUAAAGCGCGUGCAGGCGGUUCGGUAAGUUGGGCGUGAAAUCUCCCGGCUCAACUGGGAGAGGUCGUCCAAUACUACCGAACUUGAGAGCGAUAGAGGAAAAUGGAAUUCCCGGUGUAGUGGUGAAAUGCGUAGAUAUCGGGAGGAACACCAGUGGCGAAAGCGAUUUUCUGGAUCGUUUCUGACGCUCAGACGCGAAAGCUAGGGUAGCAAACGGGAUUAGAGACCCCGGUAGUCCUAGCUGUAAACGAUGUGAACUUGGCGUUGGUGGCUUAAACUCCAUCAGUGCCGAAGCUAACGCGAUAAGUUCACCGCCUGGGGACUACGGCCGCAAGGUUAAAACUCAAAGGAAUUGACGG
Molecule: ribosomal RNA, 397 nt
Filed under: uncultured bacterium
Lineage: Bacteria
Description: bacterial SSU rRNA
Rfam family: Bacterial small subunit ribosomal RNA
Source: RNAcentral